RNAcentral lists this ribosomal RNA (253 nucleotides) under uncultured bacterium. RNAcentral describes it as "partial 16S ribosomal RNA". It matches the Rfam family "Bacterial small subunit ribosomal RNA", at positions 524 to 776 of the family's 1533-position model. The record is from RNAcentral.
UACGUAGGGCGCAAGCGUUGUCCGGAAUUACUGGGCGUAAAGUGUGCGCAGGCGGCUUCGCAAGUCGAGUGUGAAAUCCCCGAGCUUAACUUGGGAAUUGCGCUCGAAACUACGGAGCUGGAGUGUGGCAGAGGAAGGUGGAAUUCCACGUGUAGCGGUGAAAUGCGUAGAGAUGUGGAGGAACACCGAUGGCGAAGGCAGCCUUCUGGGCCAACACUGACGCUCAUGCACGAAAGCGUGGGGAGCAAACAGG